CAUGAUUCCAUGAAGCACUGCACACUCACAGCUCCAAUGUGAUGCUUUGCAUAAUGGCAGUUCAAAGUGAUGGAGGAAAUCAUGCCAAUCAGUGCACUCAGAAUUAUCUGCCUUAUAUACUGAUACUCUUCCAUGCUAUCAAGAUUGUCUGGUUGCAUGGUCUGGAGAAAGCCAGUAUUCCUACUUUGCUGUCUAAAUCCAGGACACCAUGUGACAUUCCACACCUGCCUCUUACCCACCCCCACCAGAUCAAGUCAGUGCAGUGUCUGCAUAAAGUCUUGUUAUAAACCAGCAGAACAGUCUGGAAAAAAUAAAUUUGAAAGUGUGCUUUUUCAAGAAACCCAGAAAACAUGAGACUUUCUUAAGGAAAUUAAUCUAGGAAGUUAAUUGUACAGGUGAUUACCUGGCCUGAGAAAAAACUCACAUUGUUUCCUGUGGAAACCAACCUGCAACGUGCUGUUGGGGUGAGCCCAGAGGAG
Molecule: long non-coding RNA, 479 nt
Organism: Neopelma chrysocephalum (saffron-crested tyrant-manakin)
Lineage: Eukaryota; Metazoa; Chordata; Aves; Passeriformes; Pipridae
Exons: 4
Source: RefSeq, a predicted model, not a curated record